AUUGUUUUGGCAGAUUAGUGCAGUAAAUUUAGAAUUUAUUUAUGUAAUUUUAUAUUACAGACAAUA
RNAcentral lists this transfer RNA (66 nucleotides) under Yemmalysus parallelus. RNAcentral's name for it is "tRNA-Leu". Lineage: Eukaryota; Metazoa; Arthropoda; Insecta; Hemiptera; Berytidae. RNAcentral also lists the same sequence under 1 other name. The record is from RNAcentral.